RNAcentral lists this ribosomal RNA (497 nucleotides) under uncultured bacterium. Its description in RNAcentral is "partial 16S ribosomal RNA". It matches the Rfam family "Bacterial small subunit ribosomal RNA", at positions 28 to 507 of the family's 1533-position model. The record is from RNAcentral.
GAUGAACGCUGGCGGCGUGCCUAAUACAUGCAAGUCGAGCGAACAGACGAGGAGCUUGCUCCUCUGACGUUAGCGGCGGACGGGUGAGUAACACGUGGAUAACCUACCUAUAAGACUGGGAUAACUUCGGGAAACCGGAGCUAAUACCGGAUAAUAUAUUGAACCGCAUGGUUCAAUAGGGAAAGACGGUUUUGCUGUCACUUAUAGAUGGAUCCGCGCCGCAUUAGCUAGUUGGUAAGGUAACGGAUUACCAAGGCAACGAUGCGUAGCCGACCUGAGAGCGUGAUCGGCCACACUGUAACUGAGACACGGUCCAGACUCCUACGGGAGGCAUCAGUAGGGAAUCUUCCGCAAUGGGCGAAAGCCUGACGGAGCAACGCCGCGUGAGUGAUGAAGGUCUUCGGAUCGUAAAACUCUGUUAUUAGGGAAGAACAAAUGUGUAAGUAACUAUGCACGUCUUGACGGUACCUAAUCAGAAAGCCACGGCUAACUACGUG